This 72-nucleotide transfer RNA is filed under the name Pangasius djambal. RNAcentral's name for it is "tRNA-Glu". It matches the Rfam family "tRNA". From Rfam's summary of the family: Transfer RNA (tRNA) molecules are approximately 80 nucleotides in length. Their secondary structure includes four short double-helical elements and three loops (D, anti-codon, and T loops). Lineage: Eukaryota; Metazoa; Chordata; Actinopteri; Siluriformes; Pangasiidae. The record is from RNAcentral.
UCCCUGGAGGACUAGUGGUUAGGCCACAGCGCUCUCACCGCCACUGCCUGGGUUCGAUUCCUGGCCAGGGAG